AGAACGAACGCUGGCGGCAGGCUUAACACAUGCAAGUCGAACGCUCCGCAAGGGGAGUGGCAGACGGGUGAGUAACGCGUGGGAACAUACCCCUCGGUUCGGAAUAACUCAGGGAAACUUGAGCUAAUACCGGAUACGGUCGAGAGGCGAAAGAUUUAUCGCCGAGGGAUUGGCCCGCGUCCGAUUAGCUAGUUGGUGAGGUAAUGGCUCACCAAGGCGACGAUCGGUAGCUGGUCUGAGAGGAUGAUCAGCCACAUUGGGACUGAGACACGGCCCAAACUCCUACGGGAGGCAGCAGUGGGGAAUAUUGGACAAUGGGCGAAGCCUGAUCCAGCCAUGCCGCGUGAGUGAUGACGGCCUUAGGGUUGUAAAGCUCUUUCGUCAGGGACGAUAAUGACGGUACCUGAAGAAGAGCCCGGCUAACUUCGCGCCAGCAGCCGC
This 441-nucleotide ribosomal RNA is filed under the name uncultured bacterium. Its description in RNAcentral is "SSU rRNA". It matches the Rfam family "Bacterial small subunit ribosomal RNA", at positions 26 to 518 of the family's 1533-position model. The record is from RNAcentral.